GUCGCCCCCCACCGUGCCACCUGCCCUAACCAUCCCGCCGCCGCCAAACGCCCUCCACCUGGAGCACUGUUGCCGUCGCCCCCAACCACUCCAGAGCGGCGGCUCCAAGCACCGAAUUGACCGCAGCCGCCAACCACUCCAGAUCCAAGCCGGCGGCCGCCCUCCACCCAGAACGCUGCCGCCGUCCCCCCUCCCCAACCACUCCAGAGCGGCGCCACCGAGCCGCCACUCCAGACCGCAAGCGGUGACCACCCUCCUCCGCCGAAUGUCUUCCCUCACCACCACCCAUCUCGGGAGCUUCCUCCCCGACCAUGCCUCCUCUCCACAAGCUUCAUCGAAGAACCAAGCGGGGACCCCUCAUCUACGUCGUCUACCCCAGGCAGGGGAGCAUCAAUCCUCCUCGCGAGCAGCUCUGCCUUUCCCUGGAUAGCGCUGACUCCUCUAUUUCUUGCUCCAACCGCGAGAAUUUGACAGGGUUACUAAAAUGCGGUCUCUACCUUGUGUUGGACAAACUUGAACUCCAGUUCUACCGGAGAUUAGUGAAGAAAAUCCAUAUCAUCCAGAGGGAGAGGGAACCAUCUAAGGCGCAUCAAAUCAAGAUAGAGUUCUCUGCAACCAUUUUAGUCGAGUAGCAGUUUUGCGAAAGGUUUCCCAAAGAUGCACUACUUGAUGGAGAUUUGGAUGAUCUACAAGCUGCUGAAGGUUUGCAAGAUGUACUAUUAAGUUGGUGGAGUGAUAAUAUAAUGCGCCUUGUUUGUUGAACCUGGAGACAUUGGGAAGUUCAGCUCAUUUUGGUGGCCGUUUUGGCACAUAGGCCACUAUAUGGCCAUUUUGGUUGCGUGGCACAUUUAGAAACAUAUACACGUCUCCCUUUGUGGAACUACUUCAUUUUGGUUGUGUGGCACAUCUAUCUAGAAACAUUUAUGUACUCCUUUUGUGGCACAAUCUGCUUAUAUAUGUUCUUAUAUUUAUGGAAUGAAGUUUAAGGUUUCCGAUGAGGCCUA
Triticum dicoccoides is the source of this 1004-nucleotide RNA transcript. It is a transcript of the gene named enhanced ethylene response protein 5-like, with no coding region annotated. The transcript has 4 exons. The record is from RefSeq and is a predicted model, not a curated record. Lineage: Eukaryota; Viridiplantae; Streptophyta; Magnoliopsida; Poales; Poaceae.